UAUAUGUGUGUGUGUGUGUGUGUGUGUGUGUGUGUAUAGAUAUGCAUAUAUAUAGACACCCAAAUAAACACACACACAUAUACACACUCACAUACAUAUA
RNAcentral lists this microRNA precursor (100 nucleotides) under Podarcis lilfordi (Lilford's wall lizard). The record is from RNAcentral. Lineage: Eukaryota; Metazoa; Chordata; Lepidosauria; Squamata; Lacertidae.